This is a long non-coding RNA of Lagopus leucura (white-tailed ptarmigan), 468 nucleotides long. RefSeq lists it as uncharacterized. The transcript has 3 exons. The record is from RefSeq and is a predicted model, not a curated record. NCBI's taxonomy places the organism in Eukaryota, Metazoa, Chordata, Aves, Galliformes, Phasianidae.
UUAUUUUAGCAUGAAUGACAAAGGAGCACUUUUUUUAGAGCCAGUUUUACUCUGGUAUGGUGUAGAAGCUGUCUUGGGCUGCCUCAGCUGUGAGUUGUGGCCUCUGACUGGUGCUGUUUCGGUGGAAUGAAAGUUGGCCAGCAUAACCGCCCCUGGAAGUGUGGUAACAGACAGCCUGAGGCUAUGCAUUUCUUAAACUGUUCCAACUCAGCUGACAACAGUGUGUUAGUCUGUGGCUUCUGUGCUAAUUAGGCUAUGUCAUCAAUGUGCUUUUAGGAGCAGCAGAAUAAGAAACCCUUAAAGAUUGCUGCAAGUGCAUGAGAGUAGCCUACUAGAGGAAGCAAUAUCAAUAGAAGAUUCUGAGUAUAUUCUGUAGAUAGUACUGAAGGACUCAGUGCCUUUGUCGGAUUUCUCUUCCUUGAUGUCCCUGGGACUCAUCAAUUUCCAUACCACAGCCCCAGAGCAACA